This is a long non-coding RNA of Etheostoma cragini (Arkansas darter), 403 nucleotides long. RefSeq lists it as uncharacterized. The record is from RefSeq and is a predicted model, not a curated record. The transcript is spliced from 3 exons. NCBI's taxonomy places the organism in Eukaryota, Metazoa, Chordata, Actinopteri, Perciformes, Percidae.
GUUUUAUGCUGCGUUCCAGACACAGGUUUUAGCCAGUAAGUUACGACUUCAAGUCAGAACUCACGACUUGGUAGCGUUCCAGGCAAAGUCACCACAAGCCCUUCUAGCUAUCGUUAGCGCUAGCUAGCGGCUAACUAACGUUGACGUUAACUACCGCUAGCUGAUACUAGCGAUUUCUAGUCUGCUACAUAUUUUUGGCUUCAUUAAUAAACAUAACCUGUAGUAGUACACAAUCGUAUGUGUAUUGUUUUGAUUACAAUGUGUGGAAUUACUUUAUGUUGCCUAUUUAUAUCGCUUCUCACGGCGUCUGUACGGCAUCAACAGGGGGCGCCAUCGUUGUUUAUGUGUGUGACGUCAAAACUAUACCUGAGAGUACAACGAUCUGGUUCAAGAUCACUGGGAG